RNAcentral lists this ribosomal RNA (325 nucleotides) under uncultured bacterium. RNAcentral's name for it is "bacterial SSU rRNA". It matches the Rfam family "Bacterial small subunit ribosomal RNA", at positions 18 to 344 of the family's 1533-position model. The record is from RNAcentral.
CAUGGCUCAGGAUGAACGCUGACAGAAUGCUUAACACAUGCAAGUCUUUGGCGAAGCUGUGCUUGCACAGCCUAGCCAAGGCGGACGGGUGAGUAACGCGUAAGGAACUUGCCCUGCAGUCAGGGAUAACAGACGGAAACGACUGAUAAGACCUGGUAAAGUCAGGCGGACUCAUGUCCAGCCUGAUGAAAAGAGAUGCUGCAGGAGAGCCUUGCGUCCUAUUAGCUUGUUGGUGGGGUAACGGCCCACCAAGGCGAUGAUAGGUAGCCGGCCUGAGAGGGUGGACGGCCACAAGGGGACUGAGAUACGGCCCUUACUCCUACGG